CAUGAAGCUGGAAUCGCUAGUAAUCGCAGAUCNGAAUGCUGCGGUGAAUACGUUCCCGGGUCUUGUACACACCGCCCGUCACACCAUGGGAGUUGGAAAUGCCCGAAGCCAGUGACCCAACCGUAAGGAGGGAGCUGUCGAAGGUGGAGCCGAUGACUGGGGUGAAGUCGUAACAAGGUAGC
Molecule: ribosomal RNA, 182 nt
Filed under: uncultured bacterium
Lineage: Bacteria
Description: partial 16S ribosomal RNA
Rfam family: Bacterial small subunit ribosomal RNA
Source: RNAcentral